ACUGAACUCAGUCUUCAGCAGUGAUGUACAUACAUAAAGAAGCGUUACCUGUGAGUUGUGAUACUUUGAGGAAGUGGAAAUACAGAGUUACAGCAAUUCAGAAAUGCCUGAAAUCCUAGAAUCGGCCACUAGAGUGCAGCUGAACUCUAUUCAGGGAACAGAAAUAGUCAAAUAUGUAUUGAAAUGCUGUGAAAACAAACAAAAGUAACUUGAUUUAUUGCAGUAAUAAUACUAUUGUAUGCAGAGUGUGCACGUGUGUAUAUAUAUACAUAUAUAUAUAUAUAAAGGAGACUGCAAAACCUGUUUUGUCUGCAGAAACAACUUUGUAGCCUGUACAAAAGGCUUAGCUUUGUUUUUCAACAGAUUCUCACUUGAAGAUACUGUGUCCUUGUAUCACUUAAUGUUUGCCCAUAUCCUACACUCCUGUUCUGAGAGAACCAAUAGCCAUUCAUGGGGCUGACCAGCUUCACCUGGCACCUCUAAUCAUUCCCUGCCUAUGCCUUGGGGCUGUAUUUAAACUCAGCUCAGGCUUCUGUGAUGAUUUUGUUACUGAAGAGUCCAAAGAUCAUGAAGAGGUCUCUUCAGAUUUGAUGCCAGCAUCUCCCACUGCUUAUUCUUGGUGAAAACAGAGGCACUGGAACAGUUCAGGCCGCUCCUCAUUGUGGUUAGAAAACACAGGGAGAACACAGCCCCUGAAAUGAGACCUCAAACACAAAACUGCCUGUUGGCACAAAUGGAGUGUCUAGCAAUGACAAAAGCUUCUAAAAAUAAAUCUUGAUAAGAUCACUUGCAAGAAAACAUACUGUUCUUGGCUUCCCUGUGAGAUUGAUGCUGGAUGGAACCUUUUAAUCUGAACUUUAGAAAUCAAUAGGUAUUUUUGAAGAAAUAGCACAGCUUUCACUAGUGUGACAGCCAUCUUUUUGUAUUGGUGCUUUCUCUCUUCCCAUUUCUUGCCUAAAGCAGAAGGCUACGAUGGUGUUUUUCUGUUACACCCUGAGCAGAAUUGUGCUGAUAUUUAUGUAUUUGUAAUUAUUCUGUGCUGUGCUCCUAAACUUUUGUUCCAGAUUAAGUUGAGGCUGUGGAAACUAUCCUGUUUGUAAUGACAUUCUUAUUUAACAAAUAGUGAUAAUUGGAAUAAUUUCUUAACCUAUACUCAGCUUUCUUGGGAUAGAAUGUUUUAACUAAAGCAGACCAGGCCACUGUAAUUACUGUCGUAACUGAAGUAGAAAAACUGAAGUUAAGGACUUAAGCACUUAAAGCUAAUUGAAAAUUUGCUUUUGAUUCCACUGAAAACAAUUUUACUUUUUUAAUCACUUGACUUGAGUUUUCCAAUUGGAAGUUAUGGCAGCUACAGUUAAUUGAAACCCUUGGGUUGAUACACAGAGGGGCUCCAGGAUGCGGAGGCAGAAACUGGAUAUUUUUAUGGCUUGAUGUCUACCAGAAGUGCUUCUCAAAUGUGCAGGCAUUGGUUUUUAUGCUUAACAGCCAACUGCUUUGCUAUAACUGAAUACCAGGCUUCUCCCUUUUCUUUCUUGGACAACCUGUAACCUUAUGUGGAAAUUCAGUCUGAAUUUCAACUGAUUUGAAAGCUUUCUUAUUGAAUUAAGAUGACCGUGAAUGCAAAUUUCUGUGGCUACAAGCUAAUUUGGUUUUGUAGUGGAAAUAUUGACAUCUUAAUGUAUUUCCUAUAUCUCCUAACAAAAGGACAGCAGACAUCUGUCUGACACAACGUAGAUCAGAGUAAAGUUGAUAUAUAAUUUAUA
Molecule: non-coding RNA, 1763 nt
Organism: Coturnix japonica (Japanese quail)
Lineage: Eukaryota; Metazoa; Chordata; Aves; Galliformes; Phasianidae
Source: RefSeq, a predicted model, not a curated record